Molecule: ribosomal RNA, 429 nt
Filed under: Actinomycetes bacterium
Lineage: Bacteria; Bacillati; Actinomycetota; Actinomycetes
Description: Actinobacteria bacterium partial 16S ribosomal RNA
Rfam family: Bacterial small subunit ribosomal RNA
Source: RNAcentral
UAGGGAAUCUUCCGCAAUGGGCGAAAGCUUGACGGAGCAACGCCGCGUGAGUGAUGAAGGUCUUCGGAUCGUAAAACUCCGUUAUUAGGGAAGAACAAAUGUGUAAGUAACUAUGCACGUCUUGACGGUACCUAAUCAGAAAGCCACGGCUAACUACGUGCCAGCAGCCGCGGUAAUACGUAGGUGGCAAGCGUUAUCCGGAAUUAUUGGGCGUAAAGCGCGCGUAGGCGGUUUUUUAAGUCUGAUGUGAAAGCCCACGGCUCAACCGUGGAGGGUCAUUGGAAACUGGAAAACUUGAGUGCAGAAGAGGAAAGUGGAAUUCCAUGUGUAGCGGUGAAAUGCGCAGAGAUAUGGAGGAACACCAGUGGCGAAGGCGACUUUCUGGUCUGUAACUGACGCUGAUGUGCGAAAGCGUGGGGAUCAAACAGG